This 116-nucleotide ribosomal RNA is filed under the name Sinocyclocheilus grahami. The record is from RNAcentral. Lineage: Eukaryota; Metazoa; Chordata; Actinopteri; Cypriniformes; Cyprinidae.
UGCCACAGCCAUAUCACCCUGCAGCCCAAGACUGGUUGCCCACUGAAGCUAAGCAGGGUUGAGCUGGUCAGUACCUGGAUGGGAGACCUCCUGGGAAAACUAGGUUGCUGCUGGAA